Molecule: ribosomal RNA, 450 nt
Filed under: uncultured bacterium
Lineage: Bacteria
Description: bacterial SSU rRNA
Rfam family: Bacterial small subunit ribosomal RNA
Source: RNAcentral
GCUCCAGACUCCUACGGGAGGCAGCAGUGGGGGAUAUUGCACAAUGGGGGAAACCCUGAUGCAGCGACGCCGCGUGAGUGAAGAAGUAUUUCGGUAUGUAAAGCUCUAUCAGCAGGGAAGAAAAUGACAGUACCUGACCAAGAAGCCCCGGCUAACUACGUGCCAGCAGCCGCGGUAAUACGUAGGGGGCAAGCGUUAUCCGGAUUUGCUGGGUGUAAAGGGAGCGUAGACGGCAGUGCAAGUCUGGAGUGAAAGGCGGGGGCUCAACCCCCGGACUGCUCUGGAAACUGUACGGCUGGAGUGCAGGAGAGGUAAGUGGAAUUCCUAGUGUAGCGGUGAAAUGCGUAGAUAUUAGGAGGAACACCAGUGGCGAAGGCGGCCUGCUGGACUGCAACUGACGUUGAGGCUCGAAGGCGUGGGGAGCAAACAGGAUUAGAUACCCCCGUAUAU